Etheostoma cragini (Arkansas darter) is the source of this 173-nucleotide long non-coding RNA. RefSeq lists it as uncharacterized. The record is from RefSeq and is a predicted model, not a curated record. The transcript is spliced from 3 exons. NCBI's taxonomy places the organism in Eukaryota, Metazoa, Chordata, Actinopteri, Perciformes, Percidae.
AUGAAACAAAUGUAUUUAAAAGAAUGGCAAACUGAGAAAGAGUCCGUAUCAAUGUCAUUAAAGUGCAUCAGAGUCAGUGUAGAGGGAGUUCAAUCACGAAGGUGGUCUGGUUUAGACCACGGGGGACAGAGUGCACACAUGCACAUACCACACACACAGACACACAAACACAC